AUUGAACGCUGGCGGCAGGCCUAACACAUGCAAGUCGAAUGGUAACAGGAAACAGCUUGCUGUUUCGCUGACGAGUGGCGGACGGGUGAGUAAUGUCUGGGAAACUGCCUGAUGGAGGGGGAUAGCUACUGGAAACGGUAGCUAAUACCGCAUAACGUCGCAAGACCAAAGAGGGGGACCUUCGGGCCUCUUGCCAUCAGAUGUGCCCAGAUGGGAUUAGCUAGUAGGUGGGGUAACGGCUCACCUAGGCGACGAUCCCUAGCUGGUCUGAGAGGAUGACCAGCCACACUGGAACUGAGACACGGUCCAGACUCCUACGGGAGGCAGCAGUGGGGAAUAUUGCACAAUGGGCGCAAGCCUGAUGCAGCCAUGCCGCGUGUAUGAAGAAGGCCUUCGGGUUGUAAAGUACUUUCAGCGGGGAGGAAGGGAGUAAAGUUAAUACCUUUGCUCAUUGACGUUACCCGCAGAAGAAGCACCGGCUAACUCCGUG
This 490-nucleotide ribosomal RNA is filed under the name uncultured bacterium. RNAcentral describes it as "partial 16S ribosomal RNA". It matches the Rfam family "Bacterial small subunit ribosomal RNA", at positions 30 to 507 of the family's 1533-position model. The record is from RNAcentral.